This 384-nucleotide long non-coding RNA is filed under the name Capsella rubella. RNAcentral's name for it is "long non-coding RNA (CRUB_LNC004207)". The record is from RNAcentral. Lineage: Eukaryota; Viridiplantae; Streptophyta; Magnoliopsida; Brassicales; Brassicaceae.
UUACACAAGGAACUGUGUAAUUUAAGUUUGGGGGAGAGCUUAGGAUAGCAUUUGACAUGUUUUCUAUUUUCUUAUUUCGAAUUUUUAGCAUCUAGUCUUGCAUUCAUCUAUGUGCAUCAAAAAACCCUAAAAAUUUGAAAAAUUUCAGAAAAUCCUUUAAAAAAAAAAUAAAAAAAUAGAGUGUUCAUAUAGUUGAAUUUGCAUAUUAGUUUUGCUUUAAGGAUGUUGCAUUUAGGAUCUUGCAUUAGCAUAGGGGAUUAUGAUGAUUAUAACCAAAGAACUUGCUGUUCCAUUAGAUUUAACACCAAUUUCCUCGUUCAUAGUUGUUUAAUGCUUUCAUUUGAGCUUGAAACGAGACCGCACCAUUCUUUGAUUGCAUGAUUU